This 908-nucleotide small RNA is filed under the name Pan troglodytes (chimpanzee). RNAcentral's name for it is "retained intron". The record is from RNAcentral. Lineage: Eukaryota; Metazoa; Chordata; Mammalia; Primates; Hominidae.
GGCCCUGAGUGUGCCUGCGGCCGCUGGACCUAUGGGGCUGGCCCAGCCCGCCGAAGAGGCCGGGGCGCGGGGCCGGGGCUGCGAUUCCCUCCUGUUUGCGUGAUGUCGGGCCUCCGUUGGGUGGGCUCCGGGGACCUCCGGGGCGCCCACUCCUGUUCCUGUGCUCCGGGCGUUGUGCAAAGUCAGAUCGUCACAGUGCCUGCCCAGCCCCGAGGGAGGGGGGCCGAGCAGACCGACGGGGAGCAGGGUUCUCACCCGUGGUCACCGCCGCCUUAGACUGAGCGCGUUCCACUGCCCUCCUUCCCUGCAGCCAGAGGACCUAAUGAACAUGCAGCACUGCAACCUCCUCUGCCUGCCCGAGAACUACCAGAUGAAAUACUACUUCUACCAUGGCCUUUCCUGGCCCCAGCUCUCUUACAUUGCUGAGGACGAGAAUGGGAAGAUUGUGGGGUAUGUCCUGGCCAAAAUGGAAGAGGACCCAGAUGAUGUGCCCCAUGGACAUAUCACCUCAUUGGCUGUGAAGCGUUCCCACCGGCGCCUUGGUCUGGCUCAGAAACUGAUGGACCAGGCCUCUCGAGCCAUGAUAGAGAACUUCAAUGCCAAAUACGUCUCCCUGCAUGUCAGGAAGAGUAACCGGGCCGCCCUGCACCUCUAUUCCAACACCCUCAACUUUCAGAUCAGUGAAGUGGAGCCCAAAUACUAUGCAGAUGGGGAGGAUGCCUAUGCCAUGAAGCGGGACCUCACUCAGAUGGCCGACGAGCUGAGGCGGCACCUGGAGCUGAAAGAGAAGGGCAGGCACGUGGUGCUGGGUGCCAUCGAGAACAAGGUGGAGAGCAAAGGCAAUUCACCUCCGAGCUCAGGAGAGGCCUGUCGCGAGGAGAAGGGCCUGGCUGCCGAGGAUAGUGGUG